Molecule: non-coding RNA, 1373 nt
Organism: Salvia hispanica
Lineage: Eukaryota; Viridiplantae; Streptophyta; Magnoliopsida; Lamiales; Lamiaceae
Source: RefSeq, a predicted model, not a curated record
CGCAUGGCUGAGGCAGACGCUCUCGGUCCGUUUCGCGGCCAGCGCCUCCGCCGCCUCUGUCUCUUCGUCGCUGGUGUCGCGCCGUCGGAGAAGGAGGGGAAGCAUCGCCUCUCUCUUACGCCGACUGUCACCGUCGCGACAGUCAACCGCCGACGCUCUGUUGCCGCCGGCGCCACCGUGCCACUGGCGACUCGUGCCGCCGCCUUCCGUCUCCGUCAAGCUGCAGCUUCGCCCGCGGCAAGACUCCGCUGCUACUCGUCGCCUUCCAUCGACGUCACGGAGGAACUCUCCGCCUCCCAUCGCACCACCGCCGGACAAUCUCUCUAUAAGCUAAGUUUUUCUGCCUUCUAUUGUUUGGCUCAAUUCGUGGGUUUAUUUAGCAACCUAUGUGAAAUCGAUUCUUGACUAUUGGUGAUGUUCCAGCUUUGAUCUUGUGAGAGUUUGAUUAUUGAGUCCAUUAAUUGGGUUUGUGGCAGAAGCUUUAUGUUGUGAUUCUUGGCAGUAGAAAAGAGAAAUGCUCAAUCUUGUGGAAAUUCCUAUAGCAAGUCUAAGUUCUUGCAUUUGAUUACUGUGGUGAAAGCUUGGUUGUUGAGCAUAAGUGUUGUUGUUCUAUGCUUAUCCUAAAUCCGUUAUUAGUUUACAACCCAGGGGUUUUAGAUACGUGCUUUAACAUACUUUGGGUUGAAAUCCUACAUGAUUGAUAUGUAAAAUUGACUGGGAAAAAGGGUUAGAGGUGGAAUACCUCUUGAAGCUGCGGCUGCCUUGAGGAAAUCAGCUCUUAAAACCUCAGUUUUCUUCCUCUCAAACUUGCUACUGCUUGUUCUUGGUUCUCACUAGAGUUGCUAAAAUUUGAGAUGUGUAGGAGGGUGUUUAAAGGUGGUGUGGAGGGGAUUUUAUAGGCUGGGCUUUGGCGUACUAUGGGGGAAUUAAAUGGGGCUGAUCUCUCUUGUCUUCAUAUCACAACAUAUCUCUCUUUUUCUGAUCAUGCAGCCCCUUUGUCUUAAUGUAGUUUGUUGGCUAGUUUGGGUACUUGGUACUUGGUGAAUAAAUCCCAUUGUUUGAUUGUGGCUAGGUAUAACAGGUGCUGCAUUAGUGAAGGGCUUUGCAGGCUGGACUUGCCCCCUUUUUGGGUAAGUCCUUGGUCUUCAUAGGAAAAGAAAGGUGAGAGAGGAAUCUUAGCUCCCACCUAGCUGCACUUCGAGCGGGCCUGGAUUUGAUGUCUGGGCCGACGGGCUGCCCGAAACGGGCCCUAAAUUGGGCCUGGAGAAAAGGCCCGAAAUGCACUCCACAAUUUAUAUUUUCCUUUCCUUGUUUUCUUUCUUUAAGGACUUUGAUCCAUGUAACCUAUUCCAUUAGUUGUUCAUUUUGUUGCC